RNAcentral lists this microRNA precursor (99 nucleotides) under Marmota monax (woodchuck). The record is from RNAcentral. Lineage: Eukaryota; Metazoa; Chordata; Mammalia; Rodentia; Sciuridae.
ACAUGGUUUCUUGGUGUUCUUGCUAAAAUGCAGAUUCUGAUUCUGUUUGGGGUGAGGCCUGAGAGUCUGAAUUCUAUCCAGCACCCAGGUGACACCCAU